UACGGAGGAUGCGAGCGUUAUCCGGAUUUAUUGGAUUUAAAGGGUGCGUAGGCGGAUUUUUAAGUCAGCGGUAAAAUGUCCGGGCUCAACCCGGGCCGGCCGUUGAAACUGGGGAUCUUGAGUGGGCGAGAAGUAUGCGGAAUGCGUGGUGUAGCGGUGAAAUGCAUAGAUAUCACGCAGAACUCCGAUUGCGAAGGCAGCAUACCGGCGCCCGACUGACGCUGAGGCACGAAAGCGUGGGGAUCGAACAGG
RNAcentral lists this ribosomal RNA (252 nucleotides) under uncultured bacterium. Its description in RNAcentral is "partial 16S ribosomal RNA". It matches the Rfam family "Bacterial small subunit ribosomal RNA", at positions 524 to 776 of the family's 1533-position model. The record is from RNAcentral.